This 123-nucleotide non-coding RNA is filed under the name marine actinobacterium K362. RNAcentral describes it as "marine actinobacterium Glycine sequence". It matches the Rfam family "Glycine riboswitch aptamer". Rfam says of the family: This family represents the bacterial glycine riboswitch. Glycine riboswitches usually consist of two metabolite-binding aptamers domains with similar structures in tandem. The record is from RNAcentral. Lineage: Bacteria; Bacillati; Actinomycetota; Actinomycetes. RNAcentral also lists the same sequence under 1 other name.
CAACACGAUGCGGGAGAGCCGGGCAUACGGCGUUUUUCAACCCUGGUUGAUCACACGCUCGCACGGCACCGAAGGAGCAAGCCUCCCCGCCAAUCUCUCAGGUUCAUGUACCGCAUCGCACUG